GUGGGGAAUCUUCCGCAAUGGACGAAAGUCUGACGGAGCAACGCCGCGUGGGUGAAGAAGGUUUUCGGAUCGUAAAGCUCUUUCGUUAGGGACGAACGUGCUCUUUGUGAAUAAUGAGGAGUAAUGACGGUACCUAAAUAAGAAGCCACGGCUAACUACGUGCCAGCAGCCGCGGUAAUACGUAGGUGGCAAGCGUUGUCCGGAAUUAUUGGGCGUAAAGCGCGCGCAGGCGGGAUAUCAAGUCUGUCUUAAAAGUGCGAGGCUCAACCUCGUGAGGGGACAGAAACUGGUAUUCUUGAGUGUCGGAGAGGAAAGUGGAAUUCCAAGUGUAGCGGUGAAAUGCGUAGAGAUUUGGAAGAACACCAGUGGCGAAGGCGACUUUCUGGACGAUGUCUGACGCUGAGGCGCGAAAGCUAGGGGAGCGAACGGGAUUAGAUACCCCAGUAGUCC
This 450-nucleotide ribosomal RNA is filed under the name uncultured bacterium. RNAcentral's name for it is "partial 16S ribosomal RNA". It matches the Rfam family "Bacterial small subunit ribosomal RNA", at positions 354 to 796 of the family's 1533-position model. The record is from RNAcentral.